Molecule: transfer RNA, 60 nt
Filed under: Fuelleborniella sp. FuspCA
Lineage: Eukaryota; Metazoa; Arthropoda; Insecta; Psocodea; Caeciliusidae
Description: tRNA-Val
Source: RNAcentral
CGAGAAAUAGUUUAAUAAAAAUUUUUUAUUUACAUUAAAAUGAUACUCAGGUUUUCUUGA